UAAGGAGUGUGAGAAGAAUUUUGAAACACGUAAUUGACACUGUUUUGAUUUUUUUAUUUUUAUUUUACAGGGUUUAACAGGAACUGAUGGCCCACCUGGCCCAAAUGGGCCUCCAGGAGACCGUGGUGCAUUAGGACCUGCUGGGCCACCUGGACCAGCUGGCAAAGGACUACCAGGACCUCCAGGGCCUCCAGGACCCAGUGGGCUCCCGGGUGGACAUGGAUUUCGGGGUCCUUCUGUGAGUUUCUCCUGCCACUUACUCCUCAUUUUCUGACUGUGUCACAACCACAGAAGAGUGAGGUUCACUUCUGGUCUCU
Molecule: long non-coding RNA, 317 nt
Filed under: Manacus vitellinus (golden-collared manakin)
Lineage: Eukaryota; Metazoa; Chordata; Aves; Passeriformes; Pipridae
Description: lncRNA (ENSMVIG00005004665.1)
Source: RNAcentral